Molecule: transfer RNA, 74 nt
Filed under: Gemmatimonadota bacterium
Lineage: Bacteria; Pseudomonadati; Gemmatimonadota
Also listed under: 5 other names
Description: Gemmatimonadetes bacterium (rhizosphere metagenome) tRNA-Arg
Rfam family: tRNA
About the family: Transfer RNA (tRNA) molecules are approximately 80 nucleotides in length.
Source: RNAcentral
GCGCCAGUAGCUCAGCUGGAUAGAGCAACGGCCUUCUAAGCCGUAGGUCAUAGGUUCGAGUCCUAUCUGGCGCG